UAAUAAAAUUAUUUAUGGUUUAAAAAUUUAUUAUAAAUUUAUUUUACAUAUAAAUUUUAGUGUUAAUUUUUAAUUUAUUUAAAUAAUAAUUAAUAUUUAUUUGUAGUAAUUAGAAUUAAAAAUUUAAGUAAUUAAGAUUUAGUAAUAUUUAAAUUAAUAACAAAUUUUGUGCCAGCAGUUGCGGUUAUACAAAAAUUAAAUUAAAUUUUUUUAGGGAUUAAUUAAUAAUAGAUUAUAUAAUAAAAUUAAAAUUUAAAUUAUUAAGUGAAAUUUUAAUUUAUGAAAAUUUUAUAUUGAAUUAUGAAUUAAAAAAUUUUAUUAAAAACUAGGAUUAGAUACCCUAUUAUUAAAAAUUUAAAUUAAUAAUACUAAAAUAGUAUAUAAUUAUUUAUAAAAACUUAAAUAAUUUGGCGGUAUUUUAGUUUAUUUAGAGGAAUCUGUUUAUUAAUUGAUAUUCCACGAAUAAAUUUACUUAAUUUAUUUAAUUUUGUAUAUCGUUGUUAAAAAAAUAUUUUAAAAUAAUAAUAAUAUUUUAAUUUUUAUAUUAAAAGUUAAAUCAGAUCAAGAUGCAGAUUAUAAUUAAGAAUAUAAUGGAUUACAAUAAAUUUAUUUAAUUGGAUGUUAUUUUUAAAAAUUAAUUGAAAUUGGAUUUAAAUGUAAUUUUAUUUAAUUUAUUAAAAUGAUUUUAAUUUAAAAUAUGUACAUAUUGCCCGUCGCUUUCAUUAAUAAAUUGAAAUAAGUCGUAACAAAGUAGAGGUACUGGAAAGUGUUUCUAGAAAGAGUA
This 784-nucleotide non-coding RNA is filed under the name Bombyx mori (domestic silkworm). Lineage: Eukaryota; Metazoa; Arthropoda; Insecta; Lepidoptera; Bombycidae. The record is from RNAcentral.